UAUACUUUAAGUUUUAGGGUACAUGUGCACAACGUGCAGGUUUAUUACAUAUGUAUACGUGUGCCAUGUUGGUGUGCUGCACCCAUUAACUCGUCAUUUAACAUUAGUUAUAUCUCCUAAUGCUAUCCCUCCUCCCUCCUCCCACCCCACAACAGGCCCCGGUGUGUCAUGUUCCCCUUCCUGUGUCCAUGUGUUCUCAUUGUUCAAUUCCCACCUAUGAGUGAGAACAUGCGGUGUUUGGUUUUUUGUCCUUGCAAUAAUUUUCUGAGAAUGAUGGUUUCCAGCUUCAUCCAUGUCCCUACAAAGGACAUGAACUCAUCCUUUUUUAUGGCUGCAUAGUGUUCCAUGGUGUAUAUGUGCCACAUUUUCUUAAUCCAGUCUAUCAUUGUUGGACAUUUGGGUUGGCUCCAAGUCUUUGCUAUUGUGAAUAGUGCCGCAAUGAACAUACGUGUGCAUGUGUCUUUACAGCAGCAUGAUUUAUAAUCCUUUGGGUAUAUACCCAGUAAUAGGAUGGCUGGGUCAAAUGGUAUUUCUAGUUCUAGAUCCCUGAGGAAUCACCACACUGACUUCCACCAUGGUUGAACUAGUUUACAGUCCCACCAACAGUGUAAAAGUGUUCCUAUUUCUCCACAUCCUCUCCAGCACCUGUUGUUUCCUAACUUUUUAAUGAUCGCCAUUCUAACUGGCGUGAGAUGGUAUCUCAUUGUGGUUUUGAUUUGCAUUUCUCUGAUGGUCAGUGAUGAUGAGCAUUUUUUUAUGUGUCUUUUGGCUGCAUGAAUGUCUUCUUUUGGGAAGUGUCUGUUCAUAUCCUUCGCCCACUUGUUGAUGGGGUUGUUUGUUUUUUUCUUGUAAAUUUGUUUGAGUUCUUUGUAGAUUCUGGAUAUUAGUCCUUUGUCAGAUGAGUAGAUUGCAAAAAUUUUCUCCCAUUUUGUAGGUUGCCUGUUCACUCUGAUGGUCGUUUCUUUUGCUGUGCAGAAGCUCUUUAGUUUAAUUAGAUCCCAUUUGUCAAUUUUGGCUUUUGUUGCCAUUGCUUUUGGUGUUUUAGACAUGAAGUCCUUGCCCAUGCCUAUGUCCUGAAUGGUAUUGCCUAGGUUUUCUUCUAGGGUUUUUAUGGUUUUAGGUCUAACAUGUAAGUCUUUAAUCCAUCUUGAAUUAAUUUUUGUAUAAGGUGUAAGGAAGGGAUCCAGUUUCAGCUUUCUACAUAUGGCUAGCCAGUUUUCCCAGCACCAUUUAUUAAAUAGGGAAUCCUUUCCCCAUUUCUUGUUUUUGUCAGGUUUGUCAAAGAUCAGAUAGUUGUAGAUACGUGGCAUUAUUUCUGAGGGCUCUGUUCUGUUCCAUUGGUCUAUAUCUCUGUUUUGGUACCAGUACCAUGCUGUUUUAGUUACUGUAACCUUGUGUUAUAGUUUGAAAUCAGGUAGCAUGAUGCCUCCAGUUUUGUUCUUUUUGCUUAGGAUUAUCUUGGCAAUGCGGGCUCUUUUUUGGUUCCAUAUGAACUUUAAAGUAGUUUUUUCCAAUUCUGUGAAGAAAGUCAUUAAUAGCUUGAUGGGGAUGGCAUUGAAUCUAAAAAUUAUCUUGGGCAGUAUAGCCAUUUUCAUGAUAUUGAUUCUUCCUACCCAUAAGCAUGGAAUGUUCUUCCAUUUGUUUGUAUCCUCUUUUAUUUCAUUGAGCAGUGGUUUGUAGUUCUCCUUGAAGAGGUCCUUCACAUCCCUUGUAAGUUGGAUUCCUAGGUAUUUUAUUCUCUUUGAAGCAAUUGUGAAUGGGAGUUCACUCAUGAUUUGGCUCUCUGUUUGUCUGUUAUUGGUGUAUAAGAAUGCUUGUGAUUUUUGCACAUUGAUUUUGUAUCCUGAGAGUUUGCUGAAUUUGCUUAUCAGCUUAAGGAGAUUUUGGGCUGAGACGAUGGGGUUUUCUAGAUAUACAAUCAGACAUGAUUUUUUAAAUGGUAUCAUAUCAUAGAGUGUGAGCAUAAAAUAAUGUAAUCAGGCAUUUAAAAUCACAAAAUAAUGUAAUCAGGCAUUUAAAUUUUUCUCAAUUUUAGAUUACCAUAAAAAUGCUACAAUAAUUGUUAAGCAAUAUAAAUUUCCUUAAUAUAUAUUCAUAAAAGUGAAGUAGGGGGUCAAAGGGAAUACACUGUAUUAAUUUAUGCUCCCAUCUUCAGUUUGUACAAGCAUUCAUUUUACUAUUUUUAUGAACAUUCACAAUUCUCUUUUUCUUUUUUUUUGAGACAACAUCUCACUCCCGUCACCCAGACUGGAGUGCAAUAGCAGAAUCACAGCUCACUAUAGCCUCUGCUUUCCAGGCUCAGGUGAUUCUCCUACUUCAGCUUCCUGAGUAGCUAGGACGACAGGCAUGCAUCACCACGCCCAGCUAAUUUUUAGUAGAGUCAGGGUUUUGUCAUAUUGCCCAGGCUGGUCUCAAACUCUCCUCCCACGUUUGCCUGCCAAAGUUCUGUGAUUACAGGUGUGAGCCACCAUGCUUGGCCUCGCAGUUAUCUUUAAGAAAAAAAUAAAUGCUUAUAUAAUAGUAAUUCAUUAUUUGGCUUUUUUUUUGUAAUUA
Molecule: long non-coding RNA, 2553 nt
Filed under: Homo sapiens (human)
Lineage: Eukaryota; Metazoa; Chordata; Mammalia; Primates; Hominidae
Description: HSALNT0112217
Source: RNAcentral